RNAcentral lists this unclassified non-coding RNA (245 nucleotides) under Hevea brasiliensis (rubber tree). The record is from RNAcentral. Lineage: Eukaryota; Viridiplantae; Streptophyta; Magnoliopsida; Malpighiales; Euphorbiaceae.
GGGAAGCUUUCCUGCUGAUCCUAUCAGACUUCGUCCCGUCAAACCAUCAGCUAGACCACAAACCACCACCGAUGCAACUGUCAGACCGUAGGCUCCCUUUGGUCUUCCGACCCAAUCUUCUCAACGUGCUUGGUUGGGUAGAGAUUUCCUAAGUAAUCAACGGCUGUGAUAAAAGAAUUCCAGGGAAGCAAAUUACCAGCGCCAAGCAAAAAAUGGAUUACAUAAGCAAUCUUGUAGGAGUCUCU